UACACUCCUACGGGAGGCAGCAGUGGGGAAUUUUACGCAAUGGGGGAAACCCUGACGUAGCGACACCGCGUGAGCGAAGAAGCCCUUUGGGGUGUAAAGCUCUGUCAGCUGGAACGAAAACAAUGACGGUACCAGCAGAGGAAGCAUCGGCUAACUACGUGCCAGCAGCCGCGGUAAGACGUAGGAUGCGAGCGUUGUCCGGAUUUAUUGGGCGUAAAGAGUUCGUAGGUGGUUUGUUAAGUUUGGUGUUAAAGAUCGGGGCUCAACCCUGGGACUGCACUGAAUACUGGCAGACUCGAGUGUGGUAGAGGCUAGUGGAAUUCCCAGUGUAGCGGUGAAAUGCGUAGAUAUUGGGAAGAACACCGGUGGCGUAGGCGACUAGCUGGGCCAUAACUGACGCUGAGGAACGAAAGCCAGGGGAGCGAAUGGGAUUAGAAACCCCAGUAGUCCCAUG
This 454-nucleotide ribosomal RNA is filed under the name uncultured organism. RNAcentral describes it as "partial 16S ribosomal RNA". It matches the Rfam family "Bacterial small subunit ribosomal RNA", at positions 332 to 799 of the family's 1533-position model. The record is from RNAcentral.